Molecule: long non-coding RNA, 30293 nt
Filed under: Triticum aestivum (bread wheat)
Lineage: Eukaryota; Viridiplantae; Streptophyta; Magnoliopsida; Poales; Poaceae
Description: long non-coding RNA (TAES_LNC023561)
Source: RNAcentral
AGGCAGCUUCCACAUUGUCCAGUAUCGACCGUCGUAGUACCCGGAGGAGCUGUUGUGCUCACGGAAGACGAAGCCAACCUUGCUGAACUCGAGGCAGGGCACCCACUUGGAGCGGAUCAGGUAGUCGACCUGCUUCAGGAGGGCCUCCGUGGAGAGGGGUGGCAAGUAAGACAGGGUCUCGAACUUCUUGAUGCCCUCAAUCGGCCACACCUGAAUGAAUGGAAAUUGUGGAAUGCACACAACUGCUUAACACUUGGUGCUAGUAAAUUGUACGUACAGAGGAAGAAACUCAUAUCAGUUUUGUGCCUCGAGUCUCGACAUACCUGCAUGCACCUGAUCCUUCCGCCAUUGCUGACGCGGCCGAGGCUGCCGCUGGAGCGGCGGCUGACGGGGAGACCGGCUGUGGACUUGAGCCCCUGGAAGGGUGCGACGGUGGUAGCCGACGAAGCCAUCACGGCGGGGGCCAUGGUAUUGUAUUAUCGGAGGAGAGGAGGAUGCCGGCUACAGGUGAGGCCACCAUUGCCGGGUCACUACGGUAUAUAUAGCCAGACACUUAGCGUCGUUUCUUUGGUACAGAUGUGGUUGGGGUGGCUGACGUUCUCUGGUUGCCUCGUUUCCUUAUCUUCUCCGGAUCAGUGGAAGAAGCAUGGCCGUCGGAUGCGUUGUGUGUGCUGGAAAUUUCAGUCCUUCAUGUCAUUGGCUGGCUGCCACACAACCUUUUUCCAGCUUUUCUUGUUUUUGGUUUCAUUUAAAGCCAAAAGUUUCUUGAGUACAAAUUUUCUGAGAUGCGACUUGAGUGGUGCGGGCAAAAUAUUUUACAUUUUAUCAUAAGAUCUGAUGGCUCACUCUCUCGAAAGUAUGCCCAUAGGCGUAGAGUGUGCGUGUGUGCAUUUAUAGGGGUUGUUGUACAUGUGUGUAUGUGAACGUCUACAUUUGUACACCGUUUCUCAAAAUAAAAUAUAUGUUUUGUUGGUACAAUUAAUUGAACUAGCAUAGUAACCGUCCACACGCAGAACAAGUUCUUUCCCCUCUCGCAAGGCAACUAUUGAAAGCUUUCCAGCCCUCUAUAUCCGCCAGUGAGCCCGUGGAUCCGCCUCCCCUCUGCCGGAAGGGGGAUUCCUGGUGCCUCAGCUCUGGCUAGUAGAUAAGUAGGGUUUUUAGUCCUCAUAGGUGAGGCUCUUGGACGGAUGGCAGCCCUUCUUCUUCGAGCCAAUCUUUCGGGAUCCGAUCCUCUUCAAGUUCCUCUGUCUAGGGAGCUCCGACGUAGAUUCUUGCCAGCUCCUCAGGCGGCGAGGUUAGGAUUUCUCGUCAUGCGUAUGCACAAUGAAAUUUGUGUCAGGUUCUUUAGAUCGAUUCAGGGAUUCAACGGCGGCGACUGCGGCUCCAGAGCACUAGUCCUUAGGGGCACGUGCAUGAAGACUUCCUGGCUGUCAUCGACAAGGUCAAGGUAGCUCUAGAGUGGGAGCAACGACAACGGUGCUUUAGUGGCUCGUCUCUAUGCGUAGGAACGAAAAGAAAGCCCUAUAUCUCGACUUUUUGACAACUCUCUGUGACAAUGGGAUUGAGCUACUCCAUACCUUGUUUUAAACACUACUGGGUAGGAACGAAAAGCUCUAUAUCUCAACUAUUAACACAUAUGGCUAAAUCUGUACCUUGAAUUAUAGGAUAUGCCAAUCGGUCAGUGGUGGGCGGUCUCUCACAUACAUUGUCUCUCAAGUAGGGCUGCAAAUGAGACGAGUUCGAGCGAGUUGGACUUGACUCAGCUCAACUCAUAUUAAAAUUCGAGCAAGCUCAAACUGAGUGAAGCUCAAGGUCAAGCUGUAGAACAUGACUCAUGCUCAACUUGUAACGAUCUCGAGUCGAUCUCGAGCUAGUUUCGAGUUAAAUGAGAUGAUAAAAUUUAUAAAUUUUAUGACCAUUAUUCCAACUAGAUAAGCACAACAUGACAUAAAAAAGCACAAAAAAUAUUAUUCCAAUCAGAACAAUGAUAAUACAAUUUUCUUUUGAAAUGAUACAAAUUUUGUUAGAAGUAGUUUAACUUAUUCUAUCACAACCGAAAGUCUAGUAUCAACGUAAGAUAACGAUUCACGACAUAUAUAUAAUUGCGAAAACGAAGGUGCAUAUGCUGGGAACUUUUGCUAGAAACAACAAAAUAUUUAACACAUGGUCGACCACAUACCAUAAUAAGGCCUAAAUUUUCUCUACAACUAAUUAAGCUUCGAUGUUUGUUUGUAAAUGAAAUGGAGAAAAAUCCUGGAUGGCACAUAUGGUAUUAAAUUAUCAUAUUUUCAUUUAUUAUAUGGCAUGAUCAUUUAACAUAAUGAUAUUAUGCCGAGCUAUCGAGCUAAAACCGAGCGAGCCAGUAUUGGCUCAAGAUCGGCCCGUUUCUCGACUGAGCUAUAGAAAGUGUUUGUACUCAACUCGUUUCUUUUCAAGUCGAGUCAAAAAUCGAGUCGAUCUCGAGCCGCUCACGAGCCUCAAGCUUUUCUUACAGCCCUACUCUCAAGCAGUGUCAUGUUGAGACAACUCAAUCAUCCUACUUUCCAUCCCAUAUGAGCGGCAGAUAACGGAAAGACAUUAAUAUCACAAGGCCUGGACCGGAGGCAAUAAGUUGUAUGGACAACCAUGAAGCCUAGAAUAAUUAUGUUCCUCUCAUGAUAUCGAUGCCCUGGCACCUGGAGGUCUCUCGAUUUGCGCCUCGAGUUGAACUUCUCCAACUACACCAAUUGAUCGGAUGGCUCCAAUCACUAAAUUACCGCAAGAGUAAAUAAUACCAUGAAGAGGAAAAACAGGAAUAGACGAUGCAUAUCAAAUAACCGCUUACUAGCUGACCGACCCAUAGCCAACGAUUACUCAAAUAACAUCACAUAUAAAAGGGUUUAAGAGUUGUUACAACCCAUUACGGAGACUGUGAUGGGGGACGAGAAGGGGUAUGGGUGAGGGCGGAGUGGCGACGGCGGCGCUUCUCCAGCAUUGCCUCCUUCAAGGUUGCAAUGAUGGAGAUGGAGGCUUGGCACAGCCCUCAAGUGUUUUUUUAUGUCGAUGGCAGCUGGACGUAUGGAUCGUGUCCCCGAGUGGCUAGGGUUGGAGGUGUAUUUAUAAGAACUCUCCCAAAGCCUCCUUCGUUGAUGUAGCAUCUCUACUUUGAUCCAAGUGCUCUACGUGAGCCAAAUAUUUCCCAAAACCUCCCUUGAUGGCAAAGAAAGUAGUAGGAACGAACCGGGACAAAAUCCUCAAAGAAUCCCCGUCUGAAAGGGCAACUUUCGGGCUUGUCUAGGCGUAAUACGAGCACUGGUACAUCCUUUUUUUUAUGUAUCAAAGGUCGUUGAACGCUUUGGACUCUUUGGUAAAACCGCCGUAACUUUUACAUCCGGACUCUAUUUUUGACGUUCAUGUGCUCGUUGGAAUCACGAUAACGGCGCCGAUGCACCUGUGGUAUUACAUAUUGAUUUUGAGCACUUUGGAAAACAACUUUUUUCACUCUCCGAAAUGCCCAAGUCUGGUGUCUCGAUGUCCUUCGUUUGGAUCCUUUUCAUUGUGUUAAGUGCGUGAGAGUUCCACAUUACGUACAAACACACAAAGAAAAAUAAUACUAAUAAGAAUAAAUAUUAUGCAAUGCUCGCGCUGAAAAUGUUAAAUACUGCCAUACUGGAGAUCAUGCAUAUGGACAUGCAAUUGUGGCUCAAUGGCACAUGCUAUACGGAGAUAAUAGGCGACAAAUGAGCUCUAAACGUGUGUAAAAAUAGGUGCCAUCACUUGGAUCAACGAGAUAUUAUCUUGUGGAACACCUUCCAUCCUUUUGAAGGGUGUGCCUAGUAGGUAAUUCCAAUGAAAACAUGGGAUCCACCAGGGUGACCCACCGUUACCACUUCUAUUUUUCUUGGCAGUGGAUUUACUUCAGUCUAUCCUCAGUGACAUGUAUCAUCGUGGGGAGCUCUUUUUUUCAACCCAUCUCAUGAUCUAGACUCUCCAAUUGUGCAGUAUGUUAAUGAUAUGUUGUUGAUUAUGCUGGAUAUUGAUUCUCAGCUUAUUGACCUAAAAGAAAUGUUACAACUUUUGUCUAAAUCCACUUGCUUGAAAGUGAUUUUUUGUAAAUCCUCCAUGGUUCUUAUAAAUGUGAUUGACGAUGAAGCUUCUCAUUGUCCAGUUUGUUUGAGUGUUAACAGGGUAAGAUGCCUUUCACUUACCUGGUUUACCUAUGGUUAACACUAGGCCCAAGAUCUAGGACUUAAUGCCUUUGGUUGAUAUAAUGAAAAUGAAAUUGGCAGCUAGCUCUUCUAUGCUCUCACAAGGUGCUAAAUUGAAACUUUUGAGGUCUGCCAUUUCAUCUAUGCCGAUAUACUAUCUUUGUAGUCUCUAGACUCCCCCUGGAAUUAAACAACUGGAGAGAAUUGAGUAGAAUAUCUCUGGCGUGGCAAUGCUGAUAGCUCAAAUCAACCAUUCGUGAUAUGUCAUCUGGUAUGUAAACCAAAGGAGAAUGGUGGUAUCGGUAUCAUUAACCGUCAUAUUCAAGACCAACCUUUGCUUACAAAACACUUGCGCAAAUUUCAUAAUAAAGCUCAUAUUCCAUGGGUAACUUUGAUAUAGAUUUCUUACUAUCAUGGAGUCAUACCCGACGCAACAGUCCUUUGUGGCUCUUUCUGAUGGAGGGAUAUUUUGGAACUUAACGAUCAGUACAUGGCAAUCUCUUCAAUCAAAGUUAAUAUUGGCAACUUUGCCUUGUUCUUGUCUGAUGCUUGGUUGAUUGAGGGAUUUUCUCUACCUCUUCGACAUCGUUUGGAUAGGCUCUUUUCAUUGCCUUGGAUGACAAAAUUUCUGUUAAAGAUUUUAAAGAAACCCCUGAUCGGGCCACUCUUUUGCACCAGCCAUUUUUUGCUGAGGCGAUGGAUGAAUCGCAACCUCUGGAUGGUUGGUUACACAGCCUUCAGCGAAACCAAACCCUGCCUGAUGUUUGUUCUUGGUAAGGAGGGUCAUUUUCCGCCAAAAUCUUCUACUGCAUGAUGCACAAGCAUAUGCCCACCGAUGAACCUUGCAAAUGGAUAUGACAGAGCACCAUGAAGAUCAAGAUCUUUGCUUAGAUCCUAUUAUUUUAUCAGUUGAACGCUCGGAACAUGCUCCUUAGAAGGCACUGACAUUCUCCUCGGGAUGAAACCCAUUGUGCUCACAUGAGCAAAGAGACCACUUGCUUUUCUCCUAUAAUUUUAGUCAAAGGAUUUGGACUUAUUUACAGAUUGAUUGGAGCCCCAGACGAAACACUAGACAAUGUAUUGAUGCUGCAUGUAGACGAUUUGGACACCCUUUCUUCUUUGAAGUGGUGUUCUCUUGGAACUAAUAUUUGUAUUAUUACAAAUGGCAAGAUCUUCACAGGGGAGAGGCCAUCCUUUCCUGCUUGGUGUUGUAAAUUUGUACAUGACAUCUCUUCUUGUAGAUAGAGUUAAUGCUUACCAAAGCUCCUGGAUUGGAUUAGUAAUCUCCAUUAGAUAAAUAGGUAGGUAGGAAAGUGUUGUUUUUCCUUUUUUCUUGGUUCCCUUUGUAAACAUUUUUUGCUUGCUUUUGUUUUGAUGGAAUAAAGGACUGGAGCUGUUGCUCCAUACUAGUUACAAAAAUCCGAGUUUUUUCUUGAUUUUUCACUAGUAUGAUUACACUCCUUCACAAAGGAGCUCAUGCAAUGCAUGUUGGAGAUUUAUUUCAAUAGUUCCAUAACAUGUUUUGAAUGCUGUUGCUAUCUAGUUCAGUUAGAUGCUUAUUGUCCAGACCAACAAAAGUUCUUUAGUAAGGGUCUCUACAAGAAUAUGUUUCAUCCUAGUCUACUAGCAAAAACCGAUGUAGAUGCUGGUAGUGACAUGGAAAAGAAACCAUAAUCUUUUUGUAUUGAUAAGUAAAGAAACUGAAAUUUGCAACUGCAAAUCAGGGGAUCUUAAUGUCAAAUACUGAAUGCUUCCACAACUAGUUGUGAGACAUAUUCAUUGCAGUGCCAAAUAAAGAAACUUUUCCUGAAUUAAUAACAGCAAGACAAUGGUCCGCGUGUUUGUAUAUAAUAAAUAUCACACAGGUUUUGUAUAUGUGUAGCCGGUUCUAGAAUUUACAUAUGCAUGCUCGAGAACCUAUGUUCGUACAUACACACACAGACCAUAUAGAAUGAAAAAUAUGCUCUGGUCGUCCAGCAGAGUGGUGGACAAAAGUUAAGUUCACAAAAGACCUUCAUACAUAGGCCAUUGUUUCAACUCGUAGUUUAGGCCUUGCCAGACUCCUCGCAACCCGGUGGCCUGAAGGCGAUGAAGCUGACGCACUGCACCUGGCGCAGGUUGUCGAAGCCGAUGACGCGGACAUAGGCGUCAGGGUACUCCUUCUUGACCUCCUCCACCUCGUUGAGCACCUGUGUGGCGUCGGUGCACCCGAACAUAGGCAGCUUCCACAUUGUCCAGUAUCGACCAUCGUAGUACCCGGGGGAGCUGUUGUGCUCACGGAAAACGAAGCCAACCUUGCUGAACUCGAGGCAGGGCACCCACUUGGAGCGGAUCAAGUAGUCGACCUGCUUCAGGAGGGCCUCCGUGGAGAGGGGUGGCAAGUAAGACAGGGUCUCGAACUUCUUGAUGCCCUCAAUCGGCCACACCUGAAUGAAUAGAAUGCGCAGAUGCUCAAUACUUGGUGCUAAGUAAAUUAAUUGUACCAACAAUUCUAGAAAAAUCUGUUGAUGAGCAAAAAAUUGCUCCUGAUGGACAGGUCUCAUAUGCAUUGUUCGUUUGUCCACAAUGAAGAAAGCUUAAGGGUAGCCCUUAAACUGAUGGGCACUCUGAAGGUACUAAGAUAAUUUUAUCUAGUCCAUGCUGCAAUAAAAAGUAUUUCCAUUCACUAAGUUAUGAGUUGAUUGCUUUUACAUACGGAUCCCAGCUUAGGGACAAGGUUGAAUGAGCAUCCAAAGCCAAAUGGUUUCCAUAGGCAACAAAACAAACAGAUAAUAAGGUUUCGGAAUAAUCUGUUGACCAAAUUAUGUUAUAAAUUGGGGAUGUUCUGCAAGUGAAUUACUUGUACUGCCAAAGAAACUCAUGUCAGUUUAAUUAGUGACUGACAUACCUGCAUGCACCUGAUCCUUCCGCCGUUGCUGACGCUGCCGAGGCCGGCGCUGCUGGAGCGGCGGCUGACGGGCAGGCCCGCGGUGGACUUGAGACCCUGGAAGGGUGCGACGGAGGUGGCCGAGGAAGCCAUCACAGUGGGGGCCAUGGUGUUGGAGGAGGGAAGGUGGCAGGCUAAGCUUGAGGCCCCCAUUGCUGGGUCACCACGGUAUAUAUAGCCAUAUAUGGCCAGCUCCUAUCUUUAAUCAAGAUGUGGAAGGGGUGGCUGGCGUUCGUUGGUUGCCUGGUUUCCUUAUCUCUCCGGAUUAGUGUAAGAGGCAUGGCCGUUGGAUGAGUUGUGUGUGCCGAAAAUUUCAGUCGUCCAUGCCAUUGUGUGAUUGCCACAAACCCUUUUUCCAGCCUUGCAUGUACUGUAUUAUUCUUUUCGUUUUAUUUUGCUAAAGGUAACGCUUGAAAGGUGCAGGAAGAACUUCCUUUGCUGAUUUGCGAUUUAAGUUGAGUGGCACAGGCAUAACGAAUGUUAUAGUACAUCCUUUAUCCACUUCUAUAAUACAAACUUGUCAAUCAAUUAUGCUUGCUUGUAACCUUUGGCGCUUCAUUUUAUAAAAUUUUAUACAGGUAACGUACACAUUUGCUGCAUGUGUGAUGUGUGUCAUCAUGACCUUUAUGUCUUUUAUUCACAAUUAUUCAUUGGAACACAAAAGUGUUGUACUGUUUUCUACGCCUAAUCAUUUACAUGCCCUGGAGGAUUUUUAGUAUUGGAAAUGCUAUUUAAUUGGGUGUCCAAGCAAGGUAGAACUUUGUUCUAAUCCACGAGCAAAAGUUUUAGAUCCCUCUGUUGUCCAUUUACUCAGUUCGUGUCGGCCCCAGUGAACUCAUAAAUUACAUAUGGUGAGUCCAUCAUGAUUUUGUAUCAUCGUUGAAUCUAGCCCACAAAAAAGGCAGAUGUAUAUUCAUUCAUUUCAUGGUGAUGAAGCAACCUGCAAAAUGAUGCGAUCGACCAUGACCACUCAGUGAUAUGGCAAUCAUGUAGACGGACAUUGUGAUCAUCUAGUCAUUUAAGAUAGAUGUCGUGAUCUUCUUGUGUGACCGUCUCAUAGAUUUGAGCUGCAAAUCGAAUCUUAUAUUCUUCCAAAAAAAAUUCUGAAUUUCCUGCAUGUAAGAUGAUAAAGCUGAGUUUGUAAUUAAUUAUUUUUUGUGAAUCCUUAAUGAUAAUUAACACGACCCAGAUAUUACAAAAUAUCCAUAAUUAUCAUGACUGAAUCAAUAAAUUACUAUUGCAGAAUGAACCUUCCAUAGGCCCCUCCACUUGGGCCCGCCGGUGGAGAGAUUCAUCACUCAUGGGCCACAAAACGCCAGCCAUGCAGGAGGACCUUCACUAACGGGCCCUUAAGUUGGCAUCAAUGGAGGGUCACCCAUGGGGCCCAUAGAUCCAACUGAAUGGACGGUCCAUCUCUACUGACGGUCGUACCACACCACUCGUCAAUGUUGGGUGGCCCGUCGGUGCUGAAUUAAGGUAUUUCUAUCUACUGGAGACGAAGUGGCCUUAUAUGCGCUUUCUCUUUUCUCCUAAACAAAACCAUGCCGCCGCCCCCAAUCCCUUCAUCCCCAACAUCAUCACCACCCUAUCCAAUGUUUUCGUCUCCUUUCAUGUGUGCCCCCUCCUUCUCCCACAUUGAUCUGGUCCAACGCUACCGUCUCAUCCCGCGAUUAUCGUCAUCUACUCUUCGGUUACUCGUGACGGCGCGGGUUGUGGCUUCCCGCUUGCUCUCUCGUAAGAAUGGUUGGGUAAACCCCAAGUGUAAGGAUGAAGUAACCUAGUAAUAAGUAUUGUCCUCAAUACGUUUCUCAAACCAGUAGGAAUUUCUUCUACAACCCAAAUCCUCGGUACCUGCACACCAAACACAAAACAAUCUUGCCCCAACGUUUCAAGAAGGUUGUCAAUCUUCUUGUCCUACUAGUUACAAGGAUUAGUUGUUAGUUGAAAGCAAAUAUCGGUUGCUAAGUAGCCUUAGUGCGGUUCGCACCUUUAGACCUGCCAUGGCACUGUCAACACUAUACUCGCCAUGCUUAGGGUUCACACUUUUUAUAUACACCAAGAUCAGCCUAGGUGCUUCGUGUCGUACUAGCACUAAUCCAGCCAUCAAUAUAAAGGAAAUGCUACCCAUAGUUCCAAAGCUUAGUUAUUCAAAUAUGAGUCAGAUAUGGUACUAAUAUUAGUUUAAAAAAGGCACAUGUAGUUGGUCAGCCAAUGUUCCUUCUUGAGUUUCAAAAUACACGUACGCCACUUAAAGAGAGACAUGAGUGAAUAGUAUUUCUUUGUGCCAUCUUCUCCAUCAUGGAUGGGCAACGAACAUUGCGUUGUAUAGAAAGAAGAGUUAUAUCCACCUUUUACAUAGAUUAUGAUUUGCCUAAUUUCGAAGCUUAUUUGUUCAAAUAUGAGUUUGAUAUGGUACUGAUAUUAAUUAAACAAACACACAUUUAAUUGUCAGCUAAUGUUCCUACUUCAGUUUUGAAAUGCAUGUCCGCCCCUUAUAGAGAGACAGAAGAGGUUUGUAUUUCUCCAGGCGCUCUGGUCAUCAUGGUUGAGGGAUGAACUUUGUAUAUCGUAUAGGUUGAAGCUAUCAUCUGCCAACAAUCAUCACUUUUGGAGAUCUCAACAGGGAGCCUUUUUUAAGUAGUAGGGUCAUAUUAUAUUAAUGCACGCACCAAAUUACAACACACAUAGCAUCCCUCGGCAGACUUCUAGAGAUAGUACGCAUGGGUCUAUAAGGACGCACUAUUGGGGUAGAAUCCGCAAUGCAUUUGUGACACCCCGAUUGAGAGAACCGGAGGUCCUCGUGUUCCAGCCCAGAGAUCCAUGUCUUCUGGAACAUGACUAUAACUUGGUACAUGUAGACCAAAAUAAAUAAGUACUUAUGUACAAUAGCGUCUUAAUAGUACAAUCCUCUUGCACAGCAGGUGGACACGUCUAAGUGUCAGAAGCUCAAGGGCUUUAUUCUAUGAGUGACUUAAGGAAGUACUAAAGACGGAAAUAAUACUAAUGACACAACGGAAGACGGGGUACCGGCGGGGCUCCAAUCCAAAGAGACACUGCUGGGACACCAUCUAGUCCAGGUACAUGAACUCUUCGGGAAACUCUUCUAUUGGCUCUCCAGUAUCUGGAAUGAUAAGGCAGGUGAGUACUUUGAAUGUACUCACAAGCCCACAAAUAAUCCAAAGCAAGCAAGAACAGAACAAAUAAACAUAGCAACGAAGUAAAGAUUAGUGAAGCUACUACUAUCAAGACUACUCCAUAAACUUCUCAUUUGCUUGUUUAACGUCCACUGGACCUCUUCCUGGUGAAGGAAAUAUGCCCUAGAGGCAAUAAUAAAGUUAUUAUUUAUUUCCUUAUAUCAUGAUAAAUAUUUAUUAUUCAUGCUAGAAUUGUAUUAACCGGAAACAUAAUACAUGUGUGAAUAUAUAGACAAACAGAGUGUCACUAGUAUGCCUCUACUUGACUAGCUCGUUAAUCAAAGAUGGUUAUGUUUCCUAGCCAUAGACAUAAGUUGUCAUUUGAUUAACGAGAUCACCUCAUUAGGAGAAUGACGUGAUUGACUUGACCCAUUCCGUUAGCUUAGCACCCGAUCGUUUAGUAUGUUGCUAUUGCUUUCUUCAUGACCUAUACAUGUUCCUCUGACUAUGAGAUUAUGCAACUCCCGUUUACCGGAGGAACACUUUGUGUGCUACCAAACGUCACAAUGUAAAUGGGUGAUUAUAAAGGUGCUCUACAGGUGUCUCCAAAGGUACUUGUUGGGUUGGCGUAUUUCGAGUUUAGGAUUUGUCACUCCGAUUGUCGGAGAGGUAUCUCUGGGCCCACUCGGUAAUGCACAUCACUAUAAGCCUUGCAAGCAUUGUGACUAAUAAGUUAGUUGCGGGAUGAUGUGUUACGGAACGAGUAAAGAGACUUGCCGGUAACGAGAUUGAACUAGGUAUCGAGAUACCGACGAUCGAAUCUCGGGCAAGUAACAUACUGAUGACAAAGGGAACAACGUAUGUUGUUAUACGGUCUGACCGAUAAAGAUCUUCGUAGAAUAUGUGGGAGCCAAUAUGGGCAUCCAGGUCCCGCUAUUGGUUAUUGACCGAAGACGUGUCUCGGUCAUGUCUACAUAGUUCUCGAACCCGUAGGGUCCGCACGCUUAAAGUUACGAUGACAGUUUUAUUAUGAGUUUAUGUAUGUUGAUGCACCGAAGGAGUUCGGAGUCCCGGAUGAGAUCGGGGACAUGACGAGGAGUCUCGAAAUGGUCGAGACGUAAAGAUCGAUAUAUUGGACGACUAUAUUCGGACUUCGGAAAGGUUCUGAGUGAUUCGGGUAUUUUUCGGAGUACCGGAGAGUUACGGGAAUACGUAUUGGGCCUUAUUGGGCCAUACGGGAAAGAAGAAAAAGGGCCUCAAGGGUGGCCGCACCCCUCCCCUUGGUCUGGUCCGAAUUGGACUAGGGAAGCGGGGCGCCCCCUUCCUUCCUUCUCUUUUUCCCUUCCUCUUUUCCUAUUCCAUAUGGGAGGUGGAAUCCUACUAGGACUAGGGAGUCCUAGUAGGACUCCACACUUGGUGCGCCCCCUCCUAGGGCCGGCCUCCUCCUCCCUUGCUCCUUUAUAUACGGGGGCAGGGGGGCACCCCAGAGACACAACAAUUGAUCCUUGAGAUCUUUUAGCCGUGUGCGGUGCCCCCCUCCACCAAAUUACACCUCGAUAAUAUCAUUGCGGAGCUUAGGCAAAGCCCUGCGUCGGUAGAACAUCAUCAUCGUCACCACGCCGUCGUGCUGACGAAACUCUCCCUCAACACUCGGCUGGAUCGGAGUUCGAGGGACGUCAUCGAGCUGAACGUGUGCAGAACUCGGAGGUGCCGUGCGUUUGGUACUUGAUCGGUCGGAUCGUGAAGACGUACGACUACAUCAACCACGUUGUGAUAACGCUUCCGCUGUCGGUCUACGAGGGUACGUGGACAACACUCUCCCCUCUCGUUGCUAUGCAUCGCCAUGAUCUUGCGUGGGCGUAGGAAUUUUUUUGAAAUUACUACGUUCCCCAACAGUGGCAUCCGAGCCUGGUUUUAUGCGUUGAUGCUAUGCACGAGUAGAACACAAGUGAGUUGUGGGCGAUAUAAGUCAUACUGCUUACCAGCAUGUCAUACUUUGGUUCAGCGGUAUUGUGAGAUGAAGCGGCCCGGACCGACAUUACGCGUACGCUUACGCGAGACUAGUUUCACCGUUCGGAGCACUCGUUGCUUAAAGGUGACUGGCGGGUGUCUGUCUCUCUCACUUUAGUUGAACCGAGUGUGGCUACGCCCGGUCCUUGCGAAGGUUAAAACAGCACCAACUUGACAAACUAUCGUUGUGGUUUUGAUGCGUAGGUAAGAACGGUUCUUGCUAAGCCCGUAGCAGCCACGUAAAACUUGCAACAACAAAGUAGAGGACGUCUAACUUGUUUUUGCAGGGCAUGUUGUGAUGUGAUAUGGUCAAGACAUGAUGUGAUAUAAUGUGUUGUAUGAGAUGAUCAUGUUUUGUAACCGAGUUAUCGGCAACUGGCAGGAGCCAUAUGGUUGUCGCUUUAUUGUAUGAGAUGCAAUCGCCAUGUAAUAGUUUUACUUUAUCACUAAACGGUAGCGAUAGUCGUAAAAGCAAUAAGUUGGCGAGACGACAACGAUGCUACGAUGGAGAUCAAGGUGUCGCGCCGGUGACGAUGGUGAUCAUGACGGUGCUUCGGAGAUGGAUAUCACAAGCACGGUGCUUCGGAGAUGGAGAUCACAAGCACAAGAUGAUGAUGGCCAUAUCAUAUCACUUAUAUUGAUUGCAUGUGAUGUUAAUCCUUUAUGCAUCUUAUCUUGCUUUGAUUGACGGUAGCAUUAUAAGAUGAUCUCUCACUAAAAUUUCAAGAUAAAAGUGUUCUCCCUGAGUAUGCACCGUUGCAAAAGUUCUUCGUGCUGAGACACCACGUGUUAAUCGGGUGUGAUAGGCUCUACGUUCAAAUACAACGGGUGCAAAACAGUUGCACACGCGGAAUACUCAGGUUAAACUUGACGAGCCUAGCAUAUACAGAUAUGGCCUCGGAACACAGAGACCGAAAGGUCGAGCGUGAAUCAUAUAGUAGAUAUGAUCAACGUAGUGAUGUUCACCAUUGAAACUACUCCAUCUCACGUGUUAAUCGGAUAUGGUUUAGUUGCUUUGGAUCACGUAAUCACUUAGAUGAUUAGAGAGAUGUCUAUCUAAGUGGGAGUUCUUAAGUAAUAUGAUUAAUUGAACUUAAAUUUAUCAUGAACUUAGUCCUGAUAGUAUUUUGCAAAUUAUGUUGUAGAUCAAUAGCUCGCGUUGUUGCUUCCCUGUGUUUAUUUUUUGUUCCUAGAGAAAAAUUAUGUUGAAAGAUGUUAGUAGCAAAGAUGCGGAUUGGAUCCGUGAUCUGAGGAUUAUCCUCAUUGCUGCACAGAAAAAUUAUGUCCUUGAUGCACCGCUAGGUGACAGACCUAUUGCAGGAGCAGAUGCAGACGUUAUGAACGUUUGGCUAGCUCAAUAUGAUGACUACUUGAUAGUUUAGUGCACCAUGCUUAACGACUUAGAAUCGGGACUUCAAAGACGUUUUGAACGUCAUGGACCAUAUGAGAUGUUCCAGGAGUUGAAGUUAAUAUUUCAAGCAAAUACCCGAGUUGAGAGAUAUGAAAUCUCCAACAAGUUCUAUAGCAAAAAGAUGGAGGAGAAUCGCUCAACUAGUGAGCAUGUGCUCAGAUUGUCUGGGUACUACAAUCGCUUGAAUCAAGUGGGAGUUUAUCUUCCAGAUAAAAUAGUGAUUGACAGAAUUCUCUAGUCACCAUCACCAAGUUAGUAGAACUUCGUGAUGAACUAUGGUAUGCAAGGGAUGACGAAAGUAAUUCCCGAGCUCUUCGUGAUGCUGAAAUCGAUGAAGGUAGAAAUCAAGAAAAACAUCAAGUGUUGAUGGUUGACGAGACCACUUCAAGUGUUGAUGGUUGACGAGACCGCUAGUUUCAAGAAAAGGGCAAAGGGAAAAAGGGGAACUUCAAAAAGAACGGCAAGCAAGUUGCUGCUCAAGUGAAGAAGCCUAAGUCUGGUCCUAAGCCUGAGACUAAGUACUUCUACUGCAAAGGGACUGGUCACUGGAAGCGGAACUACCCCAACUAUUUGGUGGAUAAGAAGGAUGGCAAAGUGAACAAAGGUAUAUUUGAUAUACAGAUUAUUGAUGUGUACUUUACUAGUGUUUAUAGCAAUCCCUCGGUAAUUGAUACUGGUUCAAUUGCUAAGAGUAGUAACUCGAAACGGGAGUUGCAGAAUAAACAGAGACUAGUAAAAGUGAACAAAGGUAUAUUUGAUAUACAGAUUAUUGAUGUGUACUUUACUAGUGUUUAUAGCAACCCCUCGGUAAUUGAUACUGGUUCAGUUGCUAAAGAGUAGUAACUCGAAAACGGGAGUUGCAGAAUAAACAGAGACUAGUAAAAGGCGAGGUGACGAUGUGUGUUGGAAGUAGUUCCAAGAUUGAUAUGAUCAUCAUCGCACACUCCCUGUACUUUUGGGAUUAGUGUUGACACUAAAUAAGUGUUAUUUGGUGUUUGCGUUGAGCAUGAAUAUGAUCUGAUCAUGUUUAUUGCAAUACGGUUAUUCAUUUAAGUUAGAGAACAAUUGUUGUUCUGUUUACAUGAAUAAAACCUUUAUGGUCAUACACACCAACGAAAAUGGUUUGUUGGAUCUCGAUCGUAGUGAUACACAUAUUCAUAAUAUUGAAGCCAAAAGAUGCAAAGUUAAUAAUGAUAGUGCAACUUAUUUGUGGUACUGCCGUUUAGGUCAUAUUGGUGUAAAGCGCGUGAAGAAACUCCAUACUGAUGGGAUUUUGGAAUCACUUGAUUAUGAAUCACUUGAUGCUUGCGAACCGUGCCUCAUGGGCAAGAUGACUAAAACGCCGUUCUCCAGAACUAUGGAGAGAGCAACAGAUUUGUUGGAAAUCAUACAUACAGAUGUAUGUGGCCCGAUGAAUAUUGAGGCUCGUAGCAGGUAUCAUUAUUUUCUGACCUUCACAGAUGAUUUGAGCAGAUAUGGGUAUAUCUACUUAAUGAAACAGAAGUCUGAAACAUUUGAAAAGUUCAUAUAAUUUCAGAGUGAAGCGAAAAUCAUCGUAACAAGAAAAUAAAGUUUCUACGAUUUGAUCGUGGAGAAGAGUAUUUUAGUUACGAGUUUGGCCUUCAGUUAAAACAAUGUGAAAUAGUUUCACUACUCACGCCACCUGGAACACCACGGUGUAAUGGUGUGUCCGAAACAUCGUAACCGUACUUUAUUAGAUAUGGUGCGAUAUAUGAUGUCUCUUACCGAUCUACCACUAUCGUUUUAGGGUUAUGCAUUAGAGACAGCUACAUUCACGUUAAAUAGGGUAUCAUCUAAAUCCGUUGAGAUGACGUCUUAUGAACUGUGGUUUGGCAAGAAACCAAAGUUGUCGUGUCUUAAAGUUUGGGGUUGCGAUGCUUAUGUGAAAAAGUUUCAUCCUGAUAAGCUCAAACCCAAAUCGGAGAAAUGUGUCUUCAUAGGAUACCCAAAGGAGACAGUUGGGUACACCUUCUAUCACAGAUCCGAAGACAAGACAUUCGUUGCUUAGUAUGGAUCCUUUCUAGAGAAGGAGUUUCUCUCGAAAGAAGUGAGUGGGAGGAAAGUAGAACUUGAUGAGGUAACUGUACCUGCUCCCUUAUUGGAAAGUAGUUCAUCACAGAAAUCUGUUCCUGUGACUUCUACACCAAUUAGUGAGGAAGUUAAUGAUGAUGAUCAUGUAACUUCAGAUCAAGUUACUACCAAACCUCGUAGGUAAACCAGAGUAAGAUCCGCACCAGAGUGGUACGGUAAUCCUGUUCUGGAGGUUAUGUUACUAGACCAUGACGAACCUACGAACUAUGAAGAAGCGAUGGUGAGCCCAGAUUCCGCAAAAUGGCUUGAGGCCAUGAAAUCUGAGAUGAGAUCCAUGUAUGAGAACAAAGUGUGGACUUUGGUUGACUUGCCCGAUGAUCGGCAAGCAAUUGAGAAUAAAUGGAUCUUCAAGAGGAAGACGGAUGCUGAUAGUAGUGUUACUAUCUACAAAGCUAGAAUUGUCGCAAAAAAGGUUUUCGACAAGUUCAAAGUGUUGACUACGAUGAAAGUUUCUCACUCGUAUCUAUGCUUAAGUCUGUCCGAAUCAUGUUAGCAAUUGCCGCAUUUUAUAAAAUAUGGCAAAUGGAUAAACAAAACUGCAUUCCUUAAAGGAUUUAUUAAAGAAGAGUUGUAUAUGAUGCAACCAGAAUGUUUUGUCAAUCCUAAAGGUGCUAACAAAAUAUGCAAGCUCCAGCGAUCCAUCAAUGGACUGGUGCAAGCAUCUCGGAGUUGGAAUAUACGCUUUGAUAAGUUGAUCAAAGCAUAUAGUUGUAUACAGACUUGCGGUGAAGCCUGUAUUUACAAGAAAGUGAGUGGGAGCACUACAGCAUUUCUGAUAAGUAUAUGUGAAUGACAUAUUGUUGAUCGGAAAUAAUGUAGAAUUAUUCUGCAAAGCAUAAAGGAGUGUUUGAAAGGAGUUUUUCAAAGAUAGACCUCGGUGAAGCUGCUUACAUAUUGAGCAUCAAGAUCUAUAGAGAUAGAUGAAGACGCUUGAUAAGUUUUUCAAUGAGUACAUACCUUAACAAGAUUUUGAAGUAGUUCAAAAUAGAACAGUCAAAGAAAAGAGUUCUUGCCUGUGUUACAAGGUGUGAAAUUGAGUAAAGACUCAAAGCCCGACCACGGCAAAAGAUAGGAAGAGAAUGAAAGUCAUUCCCUAUGCCUUGGCCAUAGGUUCUAUAAAGUAUGUCAUGCUUUGUACCAGAUCUAUUGUAUACCCUACACUGAUUUUGGCAAGGGAGUACAAUAGUGAUCUAGGAGUAGAUCACUGGACAGCGGUCAAAAUUAUCCUUACUGGAAUAAGGAUAUGUUUCUCGAUUAUGGAAGUGACAAAAGGCUCGUCGUAAAAGGUUACGUCGAUGCAAGUUUUGACACUAAUCUAGAUGACUCUAAGUCUCGGUCUAGAUACAUAUUGAAAGUGGGAGCAAUUAGCUAGAGUAGCUCCAUGCAGAGCAUUGUAGACAUAGAAAUUUGCAAAAUACUUACGGAUCUGAAUGUGACAGACCCGUUGACUAAAAUUAUCUCACAAGCAAAACAUGAUCACACCUUAGUACUCUUUGGGUGUUAAUCACAUAGCGAUGUGAACUAGAUUACUGACUCUAGUAAACCCUUUGGGUGAUGGUCACAUGACGAUGUGAACCAUGGGUGUUAAUCACAUGGUGAUGUGAACUAUUCAUGUUAAAUCACAUGGCGAUGUGAACUAGAUUAUUGACUCUAGUGCAAGUGGGAGACUGAAGGAAAUAUGCCCUAGAGGCAAUAAUAAAGUUAUUAUUUAUUUCCUUAUAUCAUGAUAAAUGUUUAUUAUUCAUGCUAGAAUUGUAUUAACCGGAAACAUAAUACAUGUGUGAAUAUAUAGACAAACAGAGUGUCACUAGUAUGCCUCUACUUGACUAGCUCGUUAAUCAAAGAUGGUUAUGUUUCCUAGCCAUAGACAUAAGUUGUCAUUUGAUUAACGAGAUCACCUCAUUAGGAGAAUGACGUGAUUGACUUGACCCAUUCCGUUAGCUUAGCACCCAAUCGUUUAGUAUGUUGCUAUUGCUUUCUUCAUGACCUAUACAUGUUCCUCUGACUAUGAGAUUAUGCAACUCUCGUUUACCGGAGGAACACUUUGUGUGCUACCAAACGUCACAACGUAAAUGGGUGAUUAUAAAGGUGCUCUAUAGGUGUCUCCAAAGGUACUUGUUGGGUUGGCGUAUUUCGAGAUUAGGAUUUGUCACUCCGAUUGUCGGAGAGGUAUCUCUGGGCCCACUCGGUAAUGCACAUCACUAUAAGCCUUGCAAGCAUUGUGACUAAUGAGUUAGUUGCGGGAUGAUGUGUUACGGAACGAGUAAAGAGACUUGCCGGUAACGAGAUUGAACUAGGUAUCGAGAUACCGACGAUCGAAUCUCGGGCAAGUAACAUACUGAUGACAAAGGGAACAACGUAUGUUGUUAUGCGGUCUGACCGAUAAAGAUCUUCGUAGAAUAUGUGGGAGCCAAUAUGGGCAUCCAGGUCCCGCUAUUGGUUAUUGACCGGAGACGUGUCUCGGUCAUGUCUACAUAGUUCUCGAACCCGUAGGGUCCGCACGCUUAAAGUUACGAUGACAGUUUUAUUAUGAGUUUAUGUAUGUUGAUGUACCGAAGGAGUUCGGAGUCCCGGAUGAGAUCGGGGACAUGAUGAGGAGUCUCGAAAUGGUCGGGACGUAAAGAUCGAUAUAUUGGACGACUAUAUUCGGACUUCGGAAAGGUUCUGAGUGAUUCGGGUAUUUUUCGGAGUACCGGAGAGUUACGGGAAUACGUAUUGGGCCUUUUUGGGCCAUACGGGAAAGAAGAAAAAGGGCCUAAGGGUGGCCGCACCCCUCCCCUUGGUCUGGUCCGAAUUGGACUAGGGAAGGGGGGCGCCCCCUUCCUUCCUUCUCUUUUUCCCUUCCUCUUUUCCUAUUCCAUAUGGGAGGUGGAAUCCUACUAGGACUAGGGAGUCCUAGUAGGACUCCACACUUGGUGCGCCCCUCCUAGGGCCGGCCUCCUCCUCCCUUGCUCCUUUAUAUACGGGGGCAGGGGGGCACCCCAGAGACACAACAAUUGAUCCUUGAGAUCUUUUAGCCGUGUGCGGUGCCCCCCUCCACCAAAUUACACCUCGAUAAUAUCAUUGCGGAGCUUAGGCAAAGCCCUGCGUCGGUAGAACAUCAUCAUCGUCACCACGCCGUCGUGCUGACGAAACUCUCCCUCAACACUCGGCUGGAUCGGAGUUCGAGGGACGUCAUCGAGCUGAACGUGUGCAGAACUCGGAGGUGCCAUGCGUUCGGUACUUGAUCGGUCGGAUCGUGAAGACGUACGACUACAUCAACCGCGUUGUGAUAACGCUUCCGCUGUCGGUCUACGAGGGUACGUGGACAACACUCUCCCCUCUCGUUGCUAUGCAUCACCAUGAUCUUGCGUGUGCGUAGGAAUUUUUUUGAAAUUACUACGUUCCCCAACACCUGGCACGAGUCCUGCUCAAACGACUCAUCGACAUAACUUACCAGUUACCACAGCUAUUAGAGUUUAAAGUAAAGGAAUUUUGGUGCUUGGUCAAAUAAUGUGACCUAACACAAACGGUGUCCCAUUGCCAGGGACUCGGCUAUUCGAAUAGUUUGAACACACACUCUGUAGAGGUCACACAGUUUACCCACACCAUAGACUCUUUGUCUAACUAUUCUCAUUCAUAGCAUGGCACUCUAACUAUGCCUCCGACCUCCCGCGGGCUUGCCCUGGCAGAGAGAAUCUGGGUCCUUUCCACCCCGUGUUGCACCACUUGUAUUCCCUUGGGAAUCUUUUCUCUUAAGCUCAUCCACAGACCCUGGCUCUCUUGACUGAAUGGCAACUUCCAAGCCAGAGGAAGUCUACACAUUCCAUCUUCCCUCUUCGGAAACACACGAAAGAAACAUAACUACAAACGUAAUAAAGCCCUCCCAUUCGGACAGAUGUGCUUGUAAUGAGGAUGUUCGGCUUCGUGGCAGUUGGAUUGACCAGCUAUUUAAAGUUGGGUUAACAAGGAAAGUAAAACCGUGACUUUGUAAGCUACUGAAAUCCACAACUUGUUAUCCUACUAGGGUGAAGUAUUCACGAGGAUUCAUCAUCCUAAGUAAAGUCUUUCCCCGAGAUUCUUCGUGAACGUUGCUACCUAUUUUGCUUAUGAUUCAUGUUGGCAAAAUAAUUACCGGUUAUGAGUCAUAGUUAAACUUCUAUUCUACUAGGACCAAAUCAAGGCAUCCUUUAUAGUGACUCACUAUGCUAUUUCAACCACAACAAACUUAACAUAAGCAAAGGGAAGCAACAAACAACAUUGAAAGAAAAGUAAUGUUGGAAAAGAAAUGUAAGUUGAACCCAUGGCCUUGCAAUGCCAUCAAGCAAAUGGAGGUGGUGGCUUGCCAUGCUCAAAUGGAGUAGCAAAGCAUUCUUUGUCUUCACCUCCUGGAUUAUUUCCUUCUGGAAAUAAUUUAAAAAGCAAAAUACAAUAAAGCAAAUAAGUCAAAAGUGUGUCUAGCAGCAUCUAGACAAGUCAAAUAAAUCUCAAAUUAUUCCCACAGAAGGAGAAUAAUAUAAGAAAAGUAAUGCAAAAAGAAUAAACUCAUUUGGAGUUAUGGUUUAAGAGAUAUUACUCAUCACAGCUUAGUCAACAGAAUAUAAGUAAAACAAAAAAUAGCCUGAAAUAGAAAAUCCACCAAGCGGCCACGUCGAAGGCGUAUUUCAGAAAUACGCCCCCACUUACGUACCAGUUCGGCAGGGGUUGUAUCACUGACGGGUGGGGCCAUCCUGUCAGUUUUCUUUUUUAAACACCCGGCCGAGGUGUGGUGUUCUAGCGAGGUCUCACCGGCGACUACAGAGCGCUAGGGCUCGAACGAGUGGGAUCACCUUUUGAGAGGUAUACGCAUUUAUUGUGAUUUGUUAGAAUACUCUAUGUGCUUCACUUAUAUCUUUUGAGCUAGGCAGUUGCUCUGGUGCUUCAUUAUAUCUUUUAGAGCACCGUGGUGGUUAUAUUUUAUAGAAAUGAUUGCACUCUCAUGCUUCACUUAAAUCUUUUUGAGAGUCCAUAUAUAGGAAGUGGUAAUGUGCACGUGUUAUAAGACUAGUCCGAGAAGGAUAGGUAUUCAAGGGGGAUACAAUAAAAACUUUCAUGUAGAUCACUAAAUAUGAAAUGUAUAAUUUAAUGAUAUUGAUGUUGUAAUAUGAAAGGAUAUUAGUUCAUGAUCAUUGGUUAGUAGAAAUAUCAGUAUUAAAACUUGUUAUUAACUUCUCAAAUAAGUGUUGGUCAUGGCAUGGUGGCCAGGUUUGAGCAUUUGUAUUUCUGAUUGAAAUCCUUGAGUGCUAUUAUAAUCGGAUGCGCGCGAUGGUUAACUCCUACCAACAAAUUCCCUAGGGGCAUAUGUGAGUAGUACUUUGCUUAGAAGGAUAAUAGGAGUUCACAAUAAGUAUGUCAGUUCUUUAUGACUAAUGUGAGUCCAUGGAUUAUAUGCACUCCUACCUUUCCGCAAUUUGCUAGGCUCUGCUGUACCGUGCAUUGCCCUUUCUCACCUCGAGAGUUGGUGCACACUUCGCUGGUGCAUCCAAACCCCAUGGUAUGAUACGCUCUAUCAUACAUAAGCCUCCUUAUAUCUUCUUCGAAACAGCCGCCAUACCUACCUAUUAUGGCAUUUUCACAACCAUUCCGAGAUAUAUUGCCAUGCAACUUCCACUGUUCCAUUUUCAUAACAUGUGUGUUCAACGUCAUAUUGCUUUGCAUGAUCAUAUAAAGUUGGCAUGAUAUUUGUGGCAUUGUCACCGUUCAUCAUGAUUAUACAUGUUACGCUAGAUCAUUGCACAUCCUGGUACACUAUCAGAGGCAUUAAUAUAGAGUCAUAUUGUUCAAGUUAUCGAGUUGUAUGUAAAUACAAGUGUGAUGAUAAUCAUUAUUAGAGCAUUGUCCCAGUUGAGGAAACGAUGAUGGAGACUAUGAUUCCCGCACAAGUCGGGAUGAGACUCCGGACGAAAAAAAAGAGAGAAAAGAGAGAAGGGGCAAUGUUACUAUCCUUUUUUUUUGCAAGGUAAUGCUACUAUCCUUUUGAACACUUGUGCUUUAGAGUAGCACCAUGUUCUUCACAUAGAGAGUCUCCUGAGUUAUCACUUUCAUAUACUAGUCGUAUUUUUUCAUUAUAGAAUUUGACUUGCAUAUUCUGAUGAUGGGUUUCCUCAAAUGGCCGAGGCCUUCAUGAUCAAGCAAGUUGGAUGCACAUCCACUUAGUUUUCAUUGAGCUUUCAUACACUUAUAGCUCUUAGUUCAUCUAUUGCAUGGCAAUCCCUACUCCUCGCAUUGACAUCGAUUGAUGGGCAUGUCCAUAGCCCGUUGAUUAGCCGCGUCGAUGCGAGACUUUCUUCCUUUUCAACUUUCCUUAUUAAUCUUUAUCACCGCAUUCUAUUCAACUUAUAGUGUUAUAUCCAUGGCUCACGUUCAUGUAUUGCAUAGGAUUGAAAAUGCUGAAGCGCAUUAGAAGUACGAUCCAUUUGCCUUGUUUGACACCGGGGUGCUCAUGAUUUAUAUUUAUGCAGUGAAGGUGGGGUCAUGCCAUGCUAACAUAAUAAAAUGAGUGGGGAAAGCAUUCAUUGAGGAUUGUAUAUUUUAAAAGGUUAAUGAUUAUGUUUCUUAUAUUCAUGGAUAUUAUUAUGUUGACAUUGUUACUUCAUCGUUUCUCAAUAAUUAUACCGUAAAAAUAUUACAUGAUACACAUGUUAGGUAGCAUUUCACAUCAAAAAUUCUUUUUUUAUCAUUUACCUACUCGAGGACGAGAAGGAAUUAAGCUUGAGGAUGCUAAUACGUCUUCAACGUAUCUAUAAUUUUUGAUUGUUAUAUUAUCAAUCUUGGAUGCUUUAUAUGCUUUGUAUGCUAUUUUAUAUCUUUUUGGGACUAACGUAUUAUUUUGAAUAUUUUUUGAAUUGUUUGGAUUGCUUACCACAUGUGUCAUGUGGUUUGGGACUAACCUAUUAACCCAAUGCCAGUGCCAGUUACUGUUUUUUUGCUUGUUUUUGGCUUUUUAGAAAACCAAUACCAAACGAAGUCCAAACACAAUGAAACUUUACGGUGAUUUUUUCUGGACAAGAAGGGACCCUAAAAGGUUCGGGUGGAGGCUAGAAGAUCUACGGGAGAGCCACAAGCUCACAGGGUGCGCCCCCUGAGCUCAUGGGCCGCACGCAGCUCCAUUUGACCUAAUUUCACCUCCAUAAAUUCACAUAUAUUCCCAAACCAAUAGAGAGCCACCCGAAAUACUUUUUCCGCCGCCCAAGCUUCUAUUUUUCCGUGAGCCCAUAUGGAGGCCUUUUCCGGUACUCUGUCGAAGGGGGAAUCGAUCACAGAGCGCUUCUACAUCAUGCUUGCUGUCUUACAAUGAUGCAUGAGUAGUUCACGACAGACCUACGUGUCCAUAACUAGUAGCUAGAUGGCUUCUUAUCUCUCUUUGAUCUUCAAUACAAUGUUGUCCUCGAUCUUCUUGGAGUUCUUGUAAGUGCAUCUAGUGCCACCCCUAGUUGGUUUUGGAGUAUUGCCGACAAACUUGGUUGAGGGACUAAUGUGUUUGUGAGAAUUGCAGGAUAACACAGGUAGUAGUCCCUCAUUGAUUCGGUUUACCUACCAGAGAUGACCCCUAAAAAUGUGUGAAGACAUUGAAGACAAUGGUGGUCUGUGAAGAUAUUCACAUUGAAGACUAUGACAUGAGAAGACAUCGCAUGAAGACUAUGGAGUGCGAAGACAUAGUUGUUUCGUAGUUUCCUUUUCUUCUUUGUUGAGUCAUAGGAACCGCCGUACUGUUAAGUGGGGUCCAAGUGAACAAAGUCCGAGUGACUGAUGUGAUGCUCAACCAAAUCCUAUGUCUUCGAGCGAAGACAAUGAGUGCAAAUCUUAUCCAGAGUUGGAUGAGUCAGCUUUACUUAUAGCACAAGUCAAGCUGCCGCGUGUGUUUGAAAUCUGACUGUUGGACACGUGUCAGUUCCUUAGUGGCCCAGGGUCAUUUUGGACAAAUUAGGUCGGGUUGCCUCCUGGCUAUAAAUAGCCCACCCCCUACACCAUAAAUUGGUGGCUGCUCAUAGUUAGUGCACGGCUUUUGUCGUUUGAGAGCAACCCACCUCCGAAGCAUUUGAGAGAGAGAUCCUUGCGAGGACAAAGCCCAAAACACCCAGAGCCAAAGAGUGUUAGGCAUCACUGAAGUCUUUCUGUCCGCGUGAUCUGAAGACUUGUUACACUUGAGGACUGUGAAUCCUCCAGCCGGUUAGGCGUCGCGUUCUGAGCAUCCAAGAGUCAUUGUGGAUUGCCGGUGAACGAAAUCUAUGAAGGUUUGGAAGUCUACCUUGAAGACUUACCAGAGUGAUUGGGAGAGGACUAAGUGUCCUUAACUCAAGGGGAAUAAGGUGAAGACGCUUUCUUCUGAGUUAAAUCUCAGCCUCCCUAACCAGACGUACAGUUGUCACGGCAACUGGAACUGGUCCAACAAAUCCCUGUCCUCCCCAAGCAACUGGUUCUAUCUCUUAUCUCUCUUUACUUACAGUUUGUCUUCGUGAAGUCAUUACCUGCUUGCAUGAUCUGAUUGUCUUCACUGUGUGAAGACUGCUGUUGUUUGGCUUCAUACUAUCUUCCAUCCUGAUCCAUACUACCUAACUGCUGAUAGUCUUCGUGCUUUCACUUCAUUGCUUACUUGACUAUGGCUUGUCUAGUGUAGUCUACCUUCCGCUGCAUAUCAAUAGGUUCAUUUUUAUUGUUUGUCUUCAAAGCCCCUGUGUUUUGAAGACUUUCAUAAAAAUUGCCUAUUCACGCCCCCCCCCCUCUAGUCGAUAACUAGCACUUUCAGUUCUAUCCGAUGUAAUCUUCUUUUUGUUGGGGAACGUAGCAGAAAUUCAAAAUUUUCUACGCAUCACCAAGAUCAAUCUAUGGAGUACUCUAGCAAAGAAGGGAAGGAGAGUGGAUCUACAUACCCUUGUAGAUCGCGAUGCGGAAGCGUUGCAAGAACGCGGAUGAGGGAGUCGUACUCGUAGCGAUUCAGAUCGCGGUUGAUUCCGAUCUAAGCACCGAAGAACGGUGCCUCCGCGUUCAACACACGUGCAGCCCGGUGACGUCUCCCACGCCUUGAUCCAGCAAGGAGAGAGGGAGAGGUUGGGGAAGACUCCAUCCAGCAGCAGCACGACGGCGUGGUGGUGAUGGAGGAGCGUGGCAAUCCCGCAGGGCUUCGCCAAGCACCGCGGGAGAGGAGGAGGAGGGAGAGGGGUAGGGCUGCGCCAAAAGGAGACUUUCUCGUGUCGUUAUGGCAGCCCAAACCUCAACUAUAUAUAGGGGGGGAGGGGGCUGCGCCCCCCUCUAGGGUUCCCACCCCCAAGAGGAGGCGGCCAGCCCUAGAUCCCAUCAAGGGGGGGCGGCCAAGGGGAGGAGAGGGGGGGCGCCCCACUAGAUGGGCCCUAAGGCCCAUCUGGACCUAGGGUUUGCCCCCUCCCACUCUCCCAUGCGCCUUGGGCCUUGGUGGGGGGGCGCACCAGCCCACCUGGGGCUGGUCCCCUCCCACACUUGGCCCACGCAGCCUUCUGGGGCUGGUGGCCCCACUUGGUGGACCCCCGGGACCCUCCCGAUGGUCCCGGUACAUUACCGAUAACACCCGAAACUUUUCCGGUGACCAAAACAGGACUUCCCAUAUAUAAAUCUUUACCUCCGGACCAUUCCGGAACUCCUCGUGACGUCCGGGAUCUCAUCCGGGAUUUCGAACAACAUUCGGUAACCACGUACAUACUCUCCAUAUAACCCUAGCGUCAUCGAACCUUAAGCGUGUAGACCCUACGGGUUCGGGAACCAUGCAGACAUGACCGAGACGUUCUCCGGUCAAUAACCAACAGCGGGAUCUGGAUACCCAUGUUGGCUCCCACAUGUUCCACGAUGAUCUCAUCGGAUGAACCACGAUGUCGGGGAUUCAAUCAAUCCCGUAUUCAAUUCCCUUUGUCUAUCGAUAUGUUACUUGCCCGAGAUUCGAUCGUCGGUAUCCCUAUACCUUGUUCAAUCUCGUUACCGGCAAGUCUCUUUACUCGUUCCGUAACUCACAUCAUCCCGUGAUCAACUCCUUGGUCACAUUGUGCACAUUAUGAUGAUGUCCUACCGAGUGGGCCCAGAGAUACCUCUCCGUUUACACGGAGUGACAAAUCCCAGUCUCGAUUCGUGCCAACCCAACAGAUACUUUCGGAGAUACCUGUAGUGCACCUUUAUAGUCACCCAGUUACGUUGUGACGUUUGGUACACCCAAAGCAUUCCUACGGUAUCCGGGAGUUGCACAAUCUCAUGGUCUAAGGAAAUGAUACUUGACAUUAGAAAAGCUCUGAGCAAACGAACUACACGAUCUUGUGCUAGGCUUAGGAUUGGGUCUUGUCCAUCACAUCAUUCUCCUAAUGAUGUGAUCCCGUUAUCAACGACAUCCAAUGUCCAUGGUCAGGAAACCGUAACCAUCUAUUGAUCAACGAGCUAGUCAACUAGAGGCUUACUAGGGACAUGGUGUUGUCUAUGUAUCCACACAUGUAUCUGAGUUUCCUAUCAAUACAAUUCUAGCAUGGAUAAUAAACGAUUAUCAUGAACAAGGAAAUAUAAUAAUAACCUAUUUAUUAUUGCCUCUAGGGCAUAUUUCCAACACUUUUGUGGUGUGUUUGUUGGGAUCCGAUGAAUUGUGGGUUUAUGAUCAGAUUAUUCAUUGAAAGUAGUUGAGUCUUGUCUGAAUUUUAUUAUGCAUGAUUGUUAUAGCUUUGUAUUUCCCUCCGAUCUAUCUGUUUGGUUUGCCAACUAGAUUGAUUUAUCUUCAGUGGCAUACGUGCUUUGUAAUGGGUUCAAUCUUGCGGUGUCCUCACACAAUGAUAGAAGGGGAAGCGAGACACGUAUAAUAUUGUUGCCAUUAAGUAUAAAAUUAUGGGUGUAAUCAUAUUGCUUGAGUUUACUUUGUCUACAUCAUGUCAUCUUGCUUUAGGCGUUACUCUGUUCGUCAUGAACUUAAUACCACAGAUGCAUGCUAGAUAACGGUCGAUUAGUGGAAUAAUAGUAGUAGCUGUAGACAUGAGACGGUCUACUUGUCACGGACAUGAUGACUAUAUACAUGAUCAUUGCCAUGAAUACAUCAUAACUAUGUGUUUUUCUAUCAAUUACCCAACAGUAAUUUGUUUACCCACCAUAUGCUAUGUGUUCGAGAGAGAAGCCUCUAGUGAAAACUAUGGGCCCCGGGUCUACUUUUAUCAUAUUAUUAAAACCAAAAAUACCUUGCUGCAAUUUUACACUUUUUAUUUUACUUUUAUUUUUAUCUAUGUAUCACUAUCAGAAUUAAUCCUUGCAAAUAACGAGUUCAAGGGGAAUGACAACCCUCUUGCCCGCGUUGGGUGCAAGUAUUUGCUUUUCUCUGUGUAGGUGCUGCAGAAGGGAAUUAGUGUGGUUCUUCUAUUGGUUCAAUAACUUUGGUUCUCACUGAGGGAAAUACUUAUCUCUGUUGUACUGCUUCACCCAUCCUCUUCGGGGGAAAUCCCAACACAGUUUACAAGUAGCACUACCCCUCCCUCCUCCUCCAUAGAUGCUUGGUGAAGCCCUGCCUGAGCUCCACCGUAAAAUCCACCACCACGCCAUCGUGUUGGCCUUGAUCCCAUCCACCUAUCCAUGUCGCUUGCUGGAUCAAGAAGGAGACGUCACCGAGCGAUACGUGUGCAUAUCUCAGAGGUGCCGUCCGUGUGGUACUCGAUCGGAUUGGAUCACGAAGAGAGUACGACUACGCCAACCACAUUCAUUAGAAUGUUUUCGUUUUAGGUCUACAAGGGUUUGUAAACUUUUCCCCCUCGUUGCUAGCAUCUAGUUGAUUAGAUCUUGGAUGUUUUCAUUGUCUCGUAGGAAAAAAAUUGUUUUCCAUGGAACGAUUCCCAUCACUGACCUGCUUUAAAGAAGUGGGUAGGAGCUCAGGCGACCCGGGCUCAGCAGGUGGCCAGGCGGGAGGUCCCUAAGAGGUGCAUCCAAGAAUGCAACAACCUCCAAGUAGAGAAGGCGUCCCUAGCCGAGAGGAAGAGACAACAAGAGCUGGAGCUGGAGGAAGUUAAGUCUCGCCUAGCUGAUGCCGAGAGUGACGCGGCAGGCCCUUGAGAUCAUAGCCAGUGAGUCUGUCUGUGCUUCAACUCAUAAUCUAGGUGGAAAUUUUAUUUGCCGAUCUGUCAUAGAAAUUCAUUAUUUCCAGCAUCUUUUCCCGAGCCAGUGCUGUUGGAGUGUCACUUAGGAAGAAACUGCAGCAGCUUGGAGAGUUGAACAAGAUCGCGAGGCCGACAAUGGAGGGUAUUUUCAAGGCCCUAUGGCCUGGAGAAAGGUUGUCGGAAAACCAGUUUGACCUCCCGCCGCCUCCCGGAGGGGCAUGCUCGGAUUGCCCUGUGAAAGGCCUUAGUGGCCUGAGAAGAUGCUCGUCAAGCUUGGGCCAUGCUCCAGACCCACUAUCCGGGCUUGAACAUCUGUCCUAUUGCCCUAGUUGGUCCAAAAGGACCUGUCGGUAAGGAGAUUAUGCCUAAUGGCAAUUUCCAACGGAUCAUGCCCUAUACUAGGAUGUCCGAGCAGGAUUGUCGUUUGGAAAAUAUUAUUGAAUAGGCUAGGAGCGAUUACCCUGGAAUGUCAAGGAUGAAAAGUUGUAUAAAAACUUCACGAAUUUCGCUCUAGCCAUGUUUAUUUUUUUCUAUACCGACAACAUGAUAGGUUUGGUCCGACCUGUUUAGCAUACGCUUGCAUUAACCAGCCUUUGGCUUCAACCUCCACAACCAAACGGGGAGGCCUUAUAAUUGAUGUUAACGCAAGGAGUAGGGAUCGCCAUGCAACUAGGAUGCAAACAUAUCUAUGAAUAUAUGAAAUCUCUCGCAAGGAUUAAGUAGGGGUGUGUCCAACUUGUUUGCUCAUGAAGACCUCGAGCAUUUGAUAAAGCUCAUCAUCGGGAUGUACAAGGAAAGUUCUACAACAUAAAUUCCCCAAGCUAGUAUAAAACAUGAAGCUCAUGAAACUUUAAUUAGAUGCUAAUUAUCCAGACCAACAAAAGUUCUUUAGUAAGAGUCUCUAAGAAAUAUAUUUCAUCGAAACUGUCCUACUCAGCUCGAGUGAACAGUUAAAUCCAAAAAAAAUUGAAACAAAAUUUCAAAAAAAUCUAAAUUUUUUUGGUGAUAAAUGUUUUCAAUGCUUGCAAAGUUUCAUCAUGUAAUUAUAUUUGUGGAAGUCAUGCAAAAAUAAUAUCGAUGCUUCAAAAAAGUUAUUUUCGGAGUGCUGAAUUUGUUUAUUGCCGUGACGAAGAUGAAUGCCAGUCUAUGAUGAAACUUUGCAAGGAUAUAUAACAUGUGUCAAAUUAAGCCACACACAAAAAAUCAGAAAUUUUUGAAUUCUUUCUAAAUAUUUUCAGAUUUUAUUGCUCACCCGAGCUCAUAUGAGCUCGAGCUCAGUUAAUCCGUGUCCAUGUUUCAUCCUAUUCUACUAGCAAAAACCAAUGGAGCAGAUGGUAGUGACGUGGAAAAGAAACCAUAAUAAUUUUGUAGUGAUAUAUAAUUAAAGAAACAGAAAUUUGCAAUUGCAAAUUAGGGAAUCUUAAUGUCAAAUACUGAAUUCUUCCACCCACUAGCUGUGAGACAUAUCCAUUGCAGUGCCAAAUAAAGAAACUUUUCCAUGAAUUAAUAACAGCAAGACAAUGGUCCGCGUGUUGUAUAUAAUAAAUAUUACACAGGUUUUGCAUAUGUGUAGCCGGUGCAUAUAGACCUAUGAGGAAUUACGUAUGCAUGCUCAAGAACCUAUGUUCGUACAUACAUACACAAAUCAUAUAGAACAAAAGGUAUGCUCCGGUCCGAAAGCAGAGUCGUGCAGCAGAGUUGUGGACAAAAGUGAAGUUCACAAAAGACCUUCAUACGAGAUAGGCCAUUGUUUCAACUCGUAGUUUAGGCCUUGCCGGACUCCUCGCAACCCGGUGGCCUGAAGGCGAUGAAGCUGACGCACUGCACCUGGCGCAGGUUGUCGAAGCCGAUGACACGGACAUAGGCGUCAGGGUACUCCUUCUUGACCUCCUCCACCUCGUUGAGCACCUGUGUGGCGUCGGUGCACCCAAACAUGGGCAGCUUCCACAUUGUCCAGUAUCGACCGUCGUAGUACCCGGGGGAGCUGUUGUGCUCACGGAAGACGAAGCCAACCUUGCUGAACUCGAGGCAGGGCACCCACUUGGAGCGGAUCAGGUAGUCGACCUGCUUCAGGAGGGCUUCCGUGGAGAGGGGUGGCAAGUAAGACAAGGUCUCGAACUUCUUGAUGCCCUCAAUUGGCCACACCUGAAUGAAUAGAAUGCGCACAGAUGCUCAAUACUUGGUGAUAAGUCAAUUAAUUGUACUAACAAUGCUAGAAUAAAUCAGACGGCAUGCCAAAAAUUGCUCCUUAUGGGCAGCUCUCAUAUGCAUUGCUGGGUUGUUCACAAUCAAUAAAGCUUUGGUUGUACUUAGUUCUAGUAUAUGGGUCCUAUUUCGAGGAUGGGUUUGGUUAUAUACAUCGGGGAUGUUCUGUAAGUGAAUUACUUGCACUGACAAAGAAACUCAUAUCAAUUAGUG